Molecule: non-coding RNA, 2354 nt
Organism: Peromyscus maniculatus bairdii (prairie deer mouse)
Lineage: Eukaryota; Metazoa; Chordata; Mammalia; Rodentia; Cricetidae
Source: RefSeq, a predicted model, not a curated record
UUCAGCAUGGCUUGCCGCCGCCACCGCCUCUUCCUGUUGUCAUAGCAACAGGAUCCAGGCGCCCAGCCAAGGUUGGCAGCGGCGGCCGGAAAUGAGGGGAGGGCCUUUUUAAAAAGACCCCAGGAAUGCUCUUCCCUCUUUCCUCCCCCCCCCAAAAAAAAUCAGGGGAAAGCUCAACUUCUCAGGGUCUUUUUUUCUCUUUCCCCAAGUAGCGGGGCCAAAGAUUUCUUCUAAAUGAACUAUAAUUCAUUUACAAGCAUAGCAAGCAUUUUGAGUUUUACCAACAAUUUUUUUUUUCUUGGUACCCUCUGCUUCUACCGUAGUUUAACCCCGAUGGAAAAGGAGGAUGCCGUUCGGUUCCCAUCAAGACAAGAAUCGGGUUGGGGAGCAAAGCGGAGAGAUAAAUGUAUCUAGGACGGUGCUGGAGAGCUAGGCAACAGUUGUGAACUUAGCUGUCACUUCUAGAGCUAACCAGCGAGUAUGGGAUGGGCCAAUCUGAGGUAGAAAAUAGAUAAUUACAACUUUGGCCUUGGUCCUGAUUUUGGAGACCGCCCUUUGCUUCUGGGUGACCUUGGGCCAAACACUUCCUGUCCUAAACUCAGCCAUUCUGAGGACCGAAGUUACCUUCAGAAUCUUUGGGAAGUGGGCAAGCUAAGAUUCUGAGAUGUGAGGCCAUCCGUUCAAGAUCACGCAGGGGAUACAGGCAGAGCUGGGAUAAGGCAGCCUUUUUGUGGAGAGAGGCCAGCAAUGGAUAGAAAAGAAAACCAAAGCCUCGGAAAUUAAAAAGACUUGCUCAAGGUCACAGCAUGAGUUUGCAUAAAAUCCGUGGUGGUAAAACGUAGCAGCUGGGGACAGCAAGAUGGCUCAGCAGUGAGCGCUUAAGCUCUCUUCACAGCCAGUGAGGACCUUGAACUCCUGUUCCUCCCGCUCCCAUCUCCUGGCCUGGCUGAGAAUGAAACUCAGGGCCUCAGGUAUGCUAGGCAAUCACUGUACCAGCUGACCUACACCCCAAGUUUUGUUUGUUUGUUUGGUUUGUUUUUGUUUGGUUGGUUUGGUUUUUUAAGACAGGGUUUCAUUUCUCUGUGUAGCUAUGGCUGUCCUGGAACUCUCUCUGUAGCCCAGGCUGGCCUCAAACUUAGAGAUCCCCCUGCCUCUGCCUUCCAAGUGCUGGGACUGAAGGUGUGCGCCACCACCGCCCAGCUUAUUUUUAAUUCCAUUAUUAUUACGGGGAGAAAGGGAAGUAAUCUCAAGCAUUCCAUUGCAAGAGUGGGUUCUAGGACUCAAGCAGAGCCAUCUUGGUGGGCUUAUUUUGUUUUUUAAGAAAGCCUUGAAAGUUUGCCUAGAACUUGCAGCAAUCCUCCUGCCUCUGUCUCCCAAGUCCGGAAUUACAAACCUGGUCAUGUGGUGUUCUAUUUUUGAAGACAAAGUAUUACUUAGUCCUGGCUGUCCUAGAACUCACAGAGAUCUGUCUGCCUCUGCCUUCUGAGUGCUAGGAUUGAAGGCAUGCACCAUUCGAAAGAUCUAGUCAGAAUAAUAGCACUUUACCCUCAGGAGAAACCAGUACCAUAAGCCCAUUGUUUCUGAUGCCCUCCCUUUUGUUAGGCAGAGACGUGUUUGAAAUAAAGUUUAUUGAAGUUUCUGUCGGUAUUUACAUAUGAUACACGGUAAAUAACAGAGCCAGGCCCCCCACCCCACCAUUUCCCCACCCUUACCGCUUCCCUCCCCCUCCCCCAGCCUCAUUAAAAAUCGCUGCGUAAAGACAGGUUAUAACUGCUGCGGUUCCCCCACCCCCUCCCACCUAAGAUGCAAACUAAAAGCCCCGUCCCUCCCCUGCCCCCCUCCCCCCACCCUGGGGCCGUUCUGGUUCCGUGUGUUAACACUGUGCUACCUCUCCCCUCCUCCCUUAAUAAAGGGGGUGGGGUGGGCGGUUUUCUGGCGACCACCCCCCGAAUCUGUCCUAGGGGGCGGACGGGCCCUUGAAAGAGGCCAGAGUUGGGGGAUCUGAGAUAGGAAGAGGGACAUGGAUGAGAGGGAGUACCAGAAAAUGGAAGACAGAGGUUUUGGGGGGUGUUAACCCCCGCUACUACCCCUCCCUCCCCCGAUGGGACCUCGAGGGGGGAGAGGCGGGCACAGGUGUGGAGAUAGCAUGAGGGAACCUCCCUCCACCCUGGGGUCCCAUCCUUGUUUGGUGUGAGAGGCUGGAUGCACCUAGGGGCUUCGGAUGAGCAAGUGGAGGAAGGAAAAGAAGAGGAGGAAGAAGAAGGAAAGGAGGAAGAGGAGGAGGGAGAGGAGGAGGAGGAAGAAGAAGGAGAGGAGGAGGAGGAAGAAGGAAAGGAGGAGAAGGAAGAAGAAGG